GACGAACGCUGGCGGCGUGCUUAACACAUGCAAGUCGAACGGAAAGGCCCUGCUUUUGUGGGGUGCUCGAUUGGCGAACGGGUGAGUAACACGUGAGUAACCUGCCCUUGACUUUGGGAUAACUUCAGGAAACUGGGGCUAAUACCGGAUAGGAGCUCCUGCUGCAUGGUGGGGGUUGGAAAGUUUCGGCUGUUGGGGAUGGACUCGCGGCUUAUCAGCUUGUUGGUGGGGUAGUGGCUGACCAAGGCUUUGACGGGUAGCCGGCCUGAGAGGGUGAACGGGCACAUUGGGACUGAGAUACGGCCCAGAAUCCUACGGGAGGCAGCAGUGGGGAAUAUUGCACAAUGGGCGGACGCCUGAUGCAGCAACGCCGCGUGCGGGAUGACGGCCUUCGGGUUGUAAACCGCUUUCGAAUGUGACGAAGCGUGAGUGACGGUAAUGGGUAAAGAAGUACCGGCUAACUACGUG
This 468-nucleotide ribosomal RNA is filed under the name uncultured bacterium. Its description in RNAcentral is "partial 16S ribosomal RNA". It matches the Rfam family "Bacterial small subunit ribosomal RNA", at positions 28 to 507 of the family's 1533-position model. The record is from RNAcentral.